This 209-nucleotide ribosomal RNA is filed under the name uncultured bacterium. RNAcentral's name for it is "partial 16S ribosomal RNA". It matches the Rfam family "Bacterial small subunit ribosomal RNA", at positions 328 to 545 of the family's 1533-position model. The record is from RNAcentral.
ACGCUCGACACCUACGGGAGGAGCAGUGGGGAAUAUUGCACAAUGGGGGGAAACCCUGAUGCAGCGACGCCGCGUGAGCGAAGAAGUAUUUCGGUAUGUAAAGCUCUAUCAGCAGGGAAGAAACCUGACGGUACCUGACUAAGAAGCACCGGCUAAAUACGUGCCAGCACGCCGGAGGUAACUCGUAGGAGGCGGGCGUGGACGAAGGC